RNAcentral lists this ribosomal RNA (470 nucleotides) under uncultured bacterium. RNAcentral describes it as "SSU rRNA". It matches the Rfam family "Bacterial small subunit ribosomal RNA", at positions 26 to 518 of the family's 1533-position model. The record is from RNAcentral.
AGGACGAACGCUGGCGGCGUGCUUAACACAUGCAAGUCGAGCGGAAAGGCCCUUCGGGGUACUCGAGCGGCGAACGGGUGGGUAACACGUGAGUAAUCUGCCCCUAGCUCUGGGAUAGCUCCGGGAAACCGGGAUUAAUACCAGAUACGACCACUUUAGACAUCUGUUGUGGUGGAAAGAAUUUCGGCUAGGGAUGAGCUCGCGGCCUAUCAGCUUGUUGGUGAGGUAACGGCUCACCAAGGCGACGACGGGUAGCCGGCCUGAGAGGGCGACCGGCCACACUGGGACUGAGACACGGCCCAGACUCCUACGGGAGGCAGCAGUGGGGAAUAUUGCGCAAUGGGCGAAAGCCUGACGCAGCGACGCCGCGUGGGGAUGAAGGCCUUCGGGUUGUAACCCUUUCAGCAGGGACGAAGCGAAAGUGACGGUACCUGCAGAAGAGCGCCGGCUAACUACGUGCCAGCAGCCGC